Molecule: ribosomal RNA, 305 nt
Filed under: uncultured bacterium
Lineage: Bacteria
Description: bacterial SSU rRNA
Rfam family: Bacterial small subunit ribosomal RNA
Source: RNAcentral
CCUACGGGAGGCAGCAGUGAGGAAUAUUGGUCAAUGGGCGCGAGCCUGAACCAGCCAAGUAGCGUGAAGGAUGACUGCCCUACGGGUUGUAAACUUCUUUUAUAAAGGAAUAAAGUGAGGCACGUGUGCCUUUUUGUAUGUACUUUAUGAAUAAGGAUCGGCUAACUCCGUGCCAGCAGCCGCGGUAAUACGGAGGAUCCGAGCGUUAUCCGGAUUUACUGGGUGUAAAGGGCGUGUAGCCGGGUUGACAAGUCAGAUGUGAAAUCCUGCGGCUUAACCGCAGAACUGCAUUUGAAACUGUGGAU